This 207-nucleotide ribosomal RNA is filed under the name uncultured bacterium. Its description in RNAcentral is "partial 16S ribosomal RNA". It matches the Rfam family "Bacterial small subunit ribosomal RNA", at positions 568 to 774 of the family's 1533-position model. The record is from RNAcentral.
UGCGCAGGCGGAAAUUUAAGUCAGUGGUGAAAGCCCCGAGCUCAACUUGGGAACUGCCAUUGAUACUGGAUUUCUUGAAUAUAGUUGAGGUAGGCGGAAUACAACAUGUAGCGGUGAAAUGCAUAGAUAUGUUGUAGAACACCAAUUGCGAAGGCAGCUUACUAAACUAUCAUUGACGCUGAGGCACGAAAGCGUGGGGAGCGAACA